UUAUUAUUAUUAUUAUUUUUCUUCAAGGUUUCGGGGGCUUUUGGGGCCCUUAACAUGCUCAAAAACUCUUGAAAAUUGCCACACACCUUGGAACCUGCGGCCAUUAGGGCCGGGCAGAGUCUGAUACACGGGCGUGGCACAGGGGCUCUACAGCGCCCCCUGUAGUACUGAGGGCCAUAUAUCAUGCAUACUUGCACGUAUACAUAUGAAACUUGGUACAUAUAUAUAACUCAUCAAACCAAACAACUUUCACACUGCAUGUCAUAAGCUCCGCCCAACAGGAAGUUGGCUAUUUAGGGUUUUAUGAAAAACACAUGCUCUGGAAUUUGAUAUACUCCUCUGAGGAACUCCACCCGUUCACCACCAAACUCGGUGAACACGAUCUCAAGACAUUGGGGAUGCUAAAUUUCGAAGAGAUUUUUGAUAUCUCGAACGGUUUGCCCGUGGCGAGGCGUUGAAAUUAUGGCGAGAAAUGAGAAACAGGAAAUGUCUAAUAACAUCCACAUACAUUUCCUGAAUUUGAUCAAACUUAAUUGGUUUGUUCAUUGUAUGAUACCGAUCAUAUAUAUGUGACUAUUAGGAGUCAAAGUUAUAGCGCCACCAACUGGCAGCAGGAAGUGAAUCAUUUUCAAAACGCUUUGAAUUCAGCAUCUUAUUUUUACUUGAUUUGCUUCAAACUUCAUCAGAAUAAUGACAAAACACGGCCGAAGAAAAUCUGUUGUGGGGAUAUUUAUAUCUAAUAUAGUGUUGCUAUGGCAACGUGUCAAACUUGAAUGUUCUGUUCUGGUGAUUUUUAGGCAGAUAACUAGCUCAGAUUUACAUGAAACUCAAAACACAUAUCAGUAUUAGUGAUAGCUAGACAAUGGCAAAAGCUUUUAAAAGGGCGUGAAGGAGGCACUCUAUAGCGCCACCUUUUGUCAAAAGUGGGGGGGUUAGUUUUAGCUACAGACACCAAACUUGGUACAUAAAUUGUUCUUUUCAAGACGGACAACUUUCUAAUUCACAGUCAUCAGCUACGACCAACAGGAAGUCGGCUAUUUUGAUUUGAAUGUGUAUUUUUGAGAUUUUACAGUUGUGAAUUAAUGCAUACUCCUCACAGGGGAAGUACACUAUACACACCAAACUUUGUCAACAUGAAGAAAAAACAUUGAGGAACUUAAAUUGCGAACGGAUUUUGGUUAGCUUGAACGGUUUUGUCGUGGUGAUUUUUUGAAAUGACAGUAAAAAGGGAAACAUUAAUUGUCUUGUAUGUUUAAAUUGCAGCUUCCAAACACUUCAAAGCAUUUUUUCAUACAAAGAUCAAAUCAUUCUGAGGAAAUAUGCAUAGUUUCACGACUUUACAACACUGUAUGGAUAACAGAAAAUUAAAAAACUGUCAGACUUCUCAACUGACAUGAUCUCACUCUGGCCACUCUGUCUGUGUGAGGAAAGGGAGGGGGAGAGGGAGGGGGAGUGUGAGGGGGUUGGUGACUGUGAAUGUUUGGUGACUGACAGUGUGUGUGGAUUGUAGGGAGGGGCUGUCUGGCAGAGAGAGAGAGAGAGAGAGAGAGAGAGAGACCUAAUCAUCCCUUUAAUAAUCAGGAAAAAAAAAUCUGUAUUUUAAAUUGUUAUUGUUUUUGUUGUUGCUAAUGGUGGUGUUUUUUCCUUUCAUUACAGGUUAAGAAAUCUCUUAGGCCUUAUCCUUUUCUGACAGUUUUAGGGAUUUAAAAACAUCCUAAGAACCCUAAUUUGUGCUGCAAAUAAUAAUUUCAAACUCAUUUGAUACUGACCUAUGACAACCUGUGACGUGACAUGACAUUUAUUAAUCUCAUUGAUGUAACAGUAAAACUCUUCAACUGACAGAUUAAGCUGCAAUGCAAGCAAAACUAUUUCACAAAUGCUUAUAGGUCAUUAAAAUCAUUACAAAACACUAAUACAUUAUUUAAGGAUUUGGUAACACUGUAAAAUAAUGUCUAAUUUGUUAACAUUAGUAUAUGCAAUGGUAACACUUUAUAAUAAUUGCACUCAUUAGCUAAGCAUUAGUAAAUAGUUCAUGAUUAUAAAGCCUUUUCCCUUAAUAAUAGUCAUUAUUAAGCAGUAAUACAUCUAUAAAUAAAUUGUUCUUGGUUUAAAAGCACAUAUAUUACAAAGGAGAUUAAAGUCUCAGUUGUCUUAUAAAAUAAAUAAAUAAACACAACCCAGUUUGAUUCAGAAUUCAGAAAUAUUUAUUUCAAGAUGCAAUAAAAGGAAACUGUACACUUGAAUAGCUUUUAUGCGAUUCUUGAAGGAUUAGCAUUACCUCCUCUUGUAAGAUGGUUUGAGGAAUAUAUCUUCGAGAUUGUACCGCCGCUCCCUAUAUGCAUAGUAUGCAGUCUUCGUAGGGCACCAACUCCCAGAGGGGGCACCAUCCCAGUUGCUCAAAAAAAAAAAAAAAAAAAAACAUGCGCCAUUCUCCCA
Molecule: long non-coding RNA, 2436 nt
Organism: Carassius gibelio (silver crucian carp)
Lineage: Eukaryota; Metazoa; Chordata; Actinopteri; Cypriniformes; Cyprinidae
Exons: 2
Source: RefSeq, a predicted model, not a curated record